CCGCGCCGUGCAGACUGCAGCAUGCCCUCCAGCUGGGCUGGCAUGCGGUGCUCCAUGGCGUGCAGGAACAUAGCGGGUCCGGGGGGCUCGUCGCUGCCGUCUUCGUCCGCUACUCCGCAGGGUAUGGACACGAGGGCCACCCCGGCGGCGGAGUACUGGCCCAUGCGGCGGUGGAUGAAGUCGGGCACGGCGACGGUAGCCGAGAUGCUGCCGUGCCCGCGGUCCACGAUGGCGCGCGCCAGGUGCAGCAUCGGGGUGACAUGGCCCUGCGCUGGGAACGGCACGACAACGAUCUGCGUGAGCUCCGCAGCCAUGCCGCCGUGCUCUGUGGUCGUG
This 336-nucleotide unclassified non-coding RNA is filed under the name Zea mays. Its description in RNAcentral is "misc RNA Zm00001eb098310". Lineage: Eukaryota; Viridiplantae; Streptophyta; Magnoliopsida; Poales; Poaceae. The record is from RNAcentral.